AAUUAGCAGAGUUGUAGCAGAUUGCAACACAAAAGGGUUUGUCGAUGACAAGUCAGCUGUGAUUCUUGUGCAAGAAUUUGUUUCAAAACUUGUGGAGCUAAAAGGUGAAUCUCCAAGUUCUUCUGACCAAAAGAAUUUGGCGUCAGCAAUUAUUCAAUAUAUUCCAUGUUGGCGAUACGCUGGGUCAACUGAAGGCUUGGAUAUACUUUUUGAUGAAAUUGGACGGUCAGGACUAAUCCAACGGAGAUUGAGGACAAUUCACCAAAAACUGAAAACCACUGAAAAAA
Long non-coding RNA from Folsomia candida, 287 nucleotides. RefSeq lists it as uncharacterized. The record is from RefSeq and is a predicted model, not a curated record. Lineage: Eukaryota; Metazoa; Arthropoda; Collembola; Entomobryomorpha; Isotomidae. The transcript is spliced from 3 exons.